Euleptes europaea (tarantolino) is the source of this 316-nucleotide long non-coding RNA. RefSeq lists it as uncharacterized. NCBI's taxonomy places the organism in Eukaryota, Metazoa, Chordata, Lepidosauria, Squamata, Sphaerodactylidae. The transcript has 4 exons. The record is from RefSeq and is a predicted model, not a curated record.
UGAAAGAUGUCUUCAAUCUUAAAAGUAUUUGGGAGAGAAGACAAAGAGAAGGAGAAGGAAAAAGAUAAGAAAGAUAAGAAAGAUGGGGACAAAGACAAAAAGAAGAAGAAAGAGAAAAAGCAUGAUGGACAAGAUGACGACAGCAGCAGCAGCAGUAGCUCGGACAGUGAUUCUGAGAAGGGUCACAAGAAGAAAAAGAAGGAAAAAGACUAACUUUGUGGUUAUGUACAACUAACACAGAAACAGCAGCAGAGCUGGCUUCAGGGCAUUUGAUAACAUUCUACCUGGAAGAGGAACAAGAAGUGUCUGACCGUUA